CUCGCCUACAUGAAGCUGGAGUUGCUAGUAAUCGCGAAUCAGCAUGUCGCGGUGAAUACGUUCCCGGGCCUUGUACACACCGCCCGUCACACCAUGAGAGUUGGCAAUACCCAACGUACGUGAUCUAACCCGCAAGGGAGGAAGCGUCCUAAGGUAGGGUCAGCGAUUGGGGUGAAGUCGUAACAAGGUAAC
RNAcentral lists this ribosomal RNA (192 nucleotides) under uncultured bacterium. RNAcentral's name for it is "partial 16S ribosomal RNA". It matches the Rfam family "Bacterial small subunit ribosomal RNA", at positions 1311 to 1500 of the family's 1533-position model. The record is from RNAcentral.